This 110-nucleotide ribosomal RNA is filed under the name Danio rerio (zebrafish). The record is from RNAcentral. Lineage: Eukaryota; Metazoa; Chordata; Actinopteri; Cypriniformes; Danionidae.
UGUCACAGCCAUAUCAGCCCAAGACCGCUUACUCACCGAAGCUAAACAGGGCUGAACCUGGUCAUUACCUGGAUGGGAGACCACAUGGGAAAACUAGGUUGCUGUUGGAA